Long non-coding RNA from Coregonus clupeaformis (lake whitefish), 2279 nucleotides. RefSeq lists it as uncharacterized. The transcript has 6 exons. The record is from RefSeq and is a predicted model, not a curated record. NCBI's taxonomy places the organism in Eukaryota, Metazoa, Chordata, Actinopteri, Salmoniformes, Salmonidae.
UCUUAACCGCCAGUCUGUCCAGGAUUGUCGAGCCAAUUGUCACGUUUUCUGUUAGAUUUUUCUGAAUUUGGUCGUCCUUAGGCACAUGUCCGGUUCUGGGUAGUCCAGUAAGUUCACGAAACCCAGCUACAUCAGAGUCUGUUUGCUGGUCAAUUGGUCAGAUACCAAAACAAACCCCCAGAUUUGCUGUGAGAUAAGAAACAGCUACAUUUCCCUAUACCUGGGAUAAUGAUUGGCUAAGGUGCACUGAUAUCAAGACAAAAUUCAGACAAAAAAAUAUCUAACAACUCUAAUACUGAGCUUUUACGCACAAUUCCGAAAAUGAAGAGGACAUACCCAUCUUUCGCCGACCAGUAGCCCUUCUUCCUAAACACACAGAGGGCCUAGAGUGCCUGUCAUUGGAUGACUCUGAAAUAGAGAUGCUGCUAAUAUCUGUGGCACAGCCACAACUGUGUUGGACAGAGGAGGCCCUUUGCCCUCAUAGAGAGCCUACAACUGAAACCCAUGGAGCUUAUGAAACCACCGAUUUAGCCCAGCAGGGCACACACCAGGAGCCCAGCCCCAUAGGUAAUAAGGUAAAUGAGAUAUGCAGCCAUGACUCUAUUAGAAAUGCAGCUCAGGCAGGAGGCCAUCCUUGCAGCAGUAUUCCAGUGGAGAUGAAAGGGGACACCUCAGCGCACCACAGCCAUGGCACACUAAACAGACAAAAAACAACUGAGUCCACAUCGCCACACCCUUCACAUAACGCGGCUUGUGAAGAAAACACAUUGGAGUCACUCAAUGCUUUGAGAAAGACGCAGAGAACUGAACCAAAUGGCUCUAUGAAAAAGCCACUACAAAAUAGUAAAACUGUUUUGUCUUUUGAGCCACUGGAGCACUGGGAUCUGGACCAGAUUCUUCUGACUCUUCAAACAGAUAGGCUCUUUUUAGGAAGCAGUGUGUCAGAUGAACCUAUGGAAGUACAACCAGGUAGACAAUAGGGUAACUCUAAGGUAUCACUGAUAUAGCUACUGCUGAACCAUUAUGAACCUAGCAUGUCAUUCACACUCAAUGCUAUUAUCAUAAUGAUAUAAUCAAUUCAUUCUCAAUUUGGUCACAGAUGGAGACAAUGUAAGGUCACAGGAUAAUAUAUUGGAGAGGCUGGCUGCUUUCUGCAGGACAGAAUAUAUGAUAAAGUUGUGUGGGUUUCACGAGUAUGAAUAAUGUCAUGAGUUAACAUGAACGUUUUGUUUACUGUUCAGACAAAAUGGUGGAUGGAGAAAGUAUUUCAAAAGGAUGGCAUUUGAGUUGCAGCCAAGCCGUCAGGAAGUGCCCACUGUUUAUAUUGAUUUGCGUAACCCUGAGCCUCCCACGAAAACAACCAGACCAUGCAACAGCACUUCAUCACAAUCCAUGAAACUGACCAACCCUAACCUACACGACGAAAACCCAUCUGAUGAGAAAACAGACAGUAAUAUACAGUCUGGAUUAGUGAAUGGAAAAUAGUAAAUAUUGCCUUGAAUAACAGACCCACUGUAAAGCUCAAAACAUUAUUACAUAGGUUUGUAAAUAUACUAUAAUGGCUCUGUGGCUGUGAACUAUGAAUUCAGUUUAACUCCUUCCUGAGUUCAUGUUGGUGUUUUUUCUUCUCCCAGGGAAGUAACUGGAAAGAGCCUGUUACUCAGAAUGUUACGCGAGGCGAACAGAAACAGGAGUGAGCCAGACAGGAAAGAUCCAGUUCCAGCAGAUUCUACAUGCAGAACCCCCAGAAGAGUGGCCUUGAAGGACAAGCUAACUGAGGCUAACAAUGAGAAAACAUCUCUGCUUCCAGAGGUGGACAACCAAACCACAUCUCUCACAAUGCAGCAUGACCAAAACAGGCUGCCAGUUGAGAGAACACCUGCUAUUCAGCAGAGUGCUACUACCGGGCAGCCAAAGAAACAAAGACAUUCUUUUGAGCCGUCCUCCCCUCAGCAGCCUCCACUGGUGGCUGAACACCUGUUUUGUGACCUGUCAGUGACCAAGAGCAGAGAGAGCAACAGAAACAGAGAGCAGCAGCUCCAGAAACAUCUGGAAAGCUUUAGACCAACCAGGUCUGCAGGAGACAGGGAGCCUGCCGCUGAGAAGACUGAUGUUCUUUAUGACACUGAGGCCUCUCACCUACAGUCAGUUAACACUCUGCCUGCUGAUAUGGACGAUAAGGAGUGCUUGCUGCUGACUGUAUGCCUCUGUCACACCCUGGCUAAUGGACUCUAUUUGUUGAGCCAGAGUGUGUUUGUUCUAUGUGGUUAUGUCUAUGU